Molecule: long non-coding RNA, 676 nt
Filed under: Cicer arietinum (chickpea)
Lineage: Eukaryota; Viridiplantae; Streptophyta; Magnoliopsida; Fabales; Fabaceae
Description: long non-coding RNA (CARI_LNC000257)
Source: RNAcentral
UCAAAUUCCCAUUUUCUUCUCUUUUUGCAAUAUAUCGAUUUUUCUAUCACCUUCACGGUUUACUUUUCAUAUUUAGAUCUUUUGAAUAUUUUUGUCAUUUUCAAUUAUGACUAGAAAAUGUCAAAAGAUUAGGCAUUGAAGUGGAAGUCUGCCUUGAUCAAGUUUCUCCAUAAAAUUUUGAAAUCCUUUCUCGCUUAUUUGGCUUUUCCUAUUGCCAAAAAUGUUCAUGAGAUCUAAGGAUGGUGCAACCUUAAUGGUUUUUCUUAAUAUUUAUGGAUUUGUUGGUUUUCUUUGGUCCAUAUGUGUUCCACAGUUCGUGCCUCUAUUUUAUAAAUGUUGAAGAGCUAUGAAGAAUCGGGCAUAUGCCUCCUUUGUGUGAAAAGUAUCUCACUACAAUGUCUUUUGAGAUUACAAGCGAUGAAGAGUAUGAUUUGGAGGAAAAGUGAAGACUCUCCAAUCGUUGAUGAGGAUCAUUGGAGCCGAGAGGAGAAGGGCAAAACUAUUUCUAGGUGUUUGGUUAUUAAGAGGUUGGUGCCAUUAUGAGGAGUUGUUUCUUCUCACUCUUUUUUUUUUUGGUUGCUUAGACAUUAAUUUAGGGUAUAAUAACUUCUCCUACAUUGUGUGAUUCAUGUAUCUGGUGAUCUUCUAUCUUAAUAAACUUCAAAUUCAGUUGAUG